Long non-coding RNA from Bombyx mori (domestic silkworm), 1132 nucleotides. RefSeq lists it as uncharacterized. The transcript has 2 exons. Lineage: Eukaryota; Metazoa; Arthropoda; Insecta; Lepidoptera; Bombycidae. The record is from RefSeq and is a predicted model, not a curated record.
UCAAUUCCCGAAGGACAAGAAAAUUGGAAGACUGUGGUUAAAGGCCAUUUGACGCGAAAAAAGUACUCCCACAAAAAGUUCGAGGUUAUGUCGUAAACACUUUGUGGAAUCUGACUAAGAAAACAUUAGUAAAUACACAGGUGUCAAACAUUAACAUUAAUAUCUGAAGAAAGGUGCUGUACCAUCUAUAUUUUCAUGGAAUAUGAAACCAGUUUCUGAAGAAACAAAAAAUAAAGAACAAAAGUUACAAACUCGUAACCUUAAAAAACAGCUUUUUAGCCUGCCCAACACUUCUCAAUACUGUGAAGAUAUAGUACCACAGAGCUAUUACUUGCAGACGAUGAGACAGUGUAAUACUACACCGGGUUGGAAACAACAUCUAAGUUUUCAUUAGUUUUAAUCACACUUUUGCCAAUGUCAAAUGAUAUAAGGUAUCGCUGGAGUAGAGUGGUCGGCAUAUCAAUAGAAGAUCAAUUUUUAAUGUUACUAAUUAAGCUUAGAAGAAACACAAUAGAUUUUGAAUUAAGUAAAAUUUUCGGUGUAAGUAAAACUGAAGUGUCUAAUUUUGUUGUAACAUGGAUAAAUUUUGUCAGUGAUAUCUAGAACCUAAUUGACAUUUGGCCUAGCCGCAGCUUAGUAAAUUAUUAUAUGCCUAAUUGUUUUAAAACACAUUAUCCCUACACAAGGGUGAUUAUAGAUGGGACUGAAAUAGGCAUACAGAAGCCUAGUCAACCUGAUGCUCAAAAAGCGUCAUUUAGUUCUUAUAAACAUAAAAAUACCUUGAAAUUUUUGGUAGGAGCUUCACCAGGGGGAUUAUUAUCAUAUGUUUCAAACGUCUACGCUGGUUCUGCAAGUGAUCGACAGAUAGUAGAACGAAGUAAGCUGCUGCAGAUUUGUGAUUCUGGAGAUAGUAUUAUGGCAGACAGAGGUUUUAAUGUACAGGAUCUGUUUGCCUCUAAAUGAAUUAGUAUAAAUAUCCCAUCUUUAAAAGGUAAAUCACAAAUCCCAGGUGUUCAGUUAACGAUAGAUCAAAAAUUAGCUAGUCAAAGGGUUCACAUAGAACGAUUAAUUUCAUAUGUGUAAUGUUAUGUAAUUUUAGAGAAGGAAUUGUCAAUAAAAAUAAUGAAAAAUA